This 552-nucleotide long non-coding RNA is filed under the name Salmo salar (Atlantic salmon). Its description in RNAcentral is "lncRNA (ENSSSAG00000104131.1)". The record is from RNAcentral. Lineage: Eukaryota; Metazoa; Chordata; Actinopteri; Salmoniformes; Salmonidae.
CCCUGUUCCUGGAGAGAUACCCCUCCUGUAGGUUUUAACUCCAACCCUGUUCCUGGAGAGAUACCCUCCUGUAGGUUUUAACUCCAACCCUGUUCCUGGAGAGAUACCCUCCUGUAGGUUUUAACUCCAACCCUGUUCCUGGAGAGCUACCCUCCUGUAGGAUUUAACUCCAACCCUGUUCCUGGAGAGAUACCCCUCCUGUAGGUUUAUACUCCAACCCUGUUCCUGGAGAGCUACCCUCCUGUAGGUUUUAACUCCAACCCUGUUCCUGGAGAGCUACCCUCCUGUAGGUUUUAACUCCAACCCUGUUCCUGGAGAGAUACCCUCCUGUAGGUUUUAACUCCAACCCUGUUCCUGGAGAGAUAUCCUCCUGUAGGUUUUAACUCCAACCCUGUUCCUGGAGAGAUGCCCUCCUGUAGGUUUUAACUCCAACCCUGUUCCUGGAGAGCUACCCUCCUGUAGGUUUUAACUCCAACCCUGUUCCUGGAGAGAUACCCUCCUGUAGGUUUUAACUCCAACCCUGUUCCUGGAGAGAUACCCUCCUGUAGGUUU